Molecule: long non-coding RNA, 2182 nt
Filed under: Bemisia tabaci
Lineage: Eukaryota; Metazoa; Arthropoda; Insecta; Hemiptera; Aleyrodidae
Description: lncRNA ENSSSA3NGG003925
Source: RNAcentral
AUGAAAAAACGCUCUCAUUCGUGUCGUAUUCAAAGGUCGAUGUAUAUUUCUCUUCGAAUUCAUCAAAUAUCAGCAUGGAGAGUGAACCUACGGCCGGAGUCAUCUCUGUGAUGGCACAGUCACUGUGGUGAAGUCUCAUGGAGCGAUGUGUAGGAUAGUGCUACUGUUAUUCCUCGUGUACAAAUUUUCAAGAGGAAUGGAACAACCUCAGGCUCCGCAAGGGCCGGAGCAGCAGUUCAAUCAGCUUCUCCAGAAUCAAGGAUUGGGCUACCUUGUGGCCGCAAACGCGAAUCAACUAGAAGCGAGAAACUGCAUCAAAGAGUGUCAUGAGUCGUUCGGAUUCGUACUUGGGCGUCAAAGAAACGUUUGGAUUCCCGUUGCAACAGGAAUCGUGAUCGAAGAUCUGUUUUUCGCGAACGAAUGCGAAUGCGAGCUGACCGCCAAUUUCAAGAGCCUCCUGGAAAGUCCAAAAAAUGUAUUUUACUUAUCUUUUCAAAACCUCUGCGUGGACCUUCAAAAGAGUUGUGAAGCUGAGUUUCGAAUGGAGACCGUUCGAAGGUGGGCUUUUGUUCUGUCUCACGCGCUCAGCACCCCGUCGCGGCCAGUCGCAAAUUGGUGGUUGACAGCGAAAACUAGCCUCAUCUCGUUUUUUAUUUUGGAAUUUCUAUCCAAGUAUUGCGUUUAAAACUAUGUACUUACAUAUCUCAAAGCCUAAAUUAAGAGGAAGAAAAAAGAACUAAACGUUUUUUUACCAUCAUCGCAUCAUCUAUUAAGGAGAAUCCUUUUUGCAUGGGAGGCAACGUUUACAAUAGAUCCUAUUUGAUAGUGGUUCGCUGUAUCGAUUGGCUCAUAACAAUCGAACACAAUCUCAAACAAAAAUUGUAGGAUUUAAGUUGGAAAAGCUGGAAAGGAGAAUAUUCAUAGUAAUUUUUCUCUUCAUAGCCAUUUUGUGCUCCUAUAUAGGAAUCAAAAAUCUAUCACAAAAAAACCGCUCCCGCAGAUUACUCAAUUGACUUCUAGGGCUAUGUUUACAUGUUGAAGCAAUCGAUAUCGAUACAAUCUCACCUCUUUGCUGCAUCGAUUAUGAUCCAUGGCCAGUUAAGACCUCCUAGACAUAAAUUAUCUUGGUGCAUUUUUUGCGAUUAGGAGAAAAUCGAGAUCAGGGAUAAACUGUUGUAUAUUUGUUCAAGAUAUGAUAUCUUACUUCUUGAAAAAUAAAAAAGCUUUACUUAAACAACUUGUAGCGGAUACACUUUUAGUAUAACUUGAUGUGAUCUAUGAAAAAGGAGUUGGAUUGGUUACAGAAGAAAUUCGUGAAGUUUAAUUCAUUCGGAAGUCAUCAGAAGUAGAGUAUGAAAUACAUUCCUCCAACUACGUGUUACUAAUGAAUAGCAUCAAAAAACCUCUCCUAUGUAAAAGGUCAAUGCGUCAAUAGUUGAGACGAAUAAUUAUCACUAAAGAACGUAUGGGCAUAUGUCUAGAGUCUAUUGCGUCAAAAGUUAAAACGAGUACCGCUAAAAAUAGUGAAUGGUAUAGAGAGUGUAUAGAGUCGGCUGCGAUGAAUAAGAGAGGAAAAUUUGCAUAACGUAUAUCGAAAGUACCGCACGCUUCCCUUUUUUUGAGUGAACGGUAAAUCUAAUUACAUGCGGUUGGCCCAUGCAGGGCUCUUGAUUGAAUCCUCGAGUUUAAAAGGGGUUUUGCGUUCCCGGCUUCCACAACCUAAAUUAAAAAACGAGCUAGAAAAACGCCAAAAUUCCGCUUUACACGAUAUUUUAUAAUAUCAUAAAUUUUAUCAAAGAUUAUCAAAGAUAAUCAAAGAUUUUCAAGUUUGGAACCUGCACAUAAGAACUUAUUGCAAACCUACUAGGAUUCAAUCCAGAGCCCCGUGAAAACCGCAUGUCGAUAGCUUUUACUGUUUGCUGAAUAACAGGAAACAUGCAGUCAGCAGUACUUUCGGGACACCCUCUGUAGUCUGUAUAAUUUCAAGGGCAACGCAUAGUUUGAAAAACUGGUGAAAUUUUCAGAUGUACCUAGAGACAAUACUUAUCACAGCAACGGAAGCAUCAGAGGAAUCGCACGCAAGCAAAAAAAACAAGCAGUAACUCCAGCGCACUGCCGCUGGAGAGCGGCUCCGGGAAUGGUAGUUUCAUGUAAGAUAGAAAGAUUCUUAAUUUCGUCUUCA